CUACUUACUUGGCAGGGGAGAUACCAUGAUCACAAAAGUGGAGAUACCAUGAUACCAUGAUCAGGGCAAGGCUUACCCAUUGCACUCCCGAGAUUUCCCCAAAUAUGGGAAACUCUACUGUGUAAUUUGUGGUAAUGGGGGACUAGGUUCCCACUUUCCCCUG
This is a small nuclear RNA of Nycticebus coucang (slow loris), 163 nucleotides long. RefSeq annotates it as U1 spliceosomal RNA. The record is from RefSeq and is a predicted model, not a curated record. Lineage: Eukaryota; Metazoa; Chordata; Mammalia; Primates; Lorisidae. The transcript has a single exon.